AGUGAACGCUGGCGGUAGGCCUAACACAUGCAAGUCGAACGGCAGCACCGUACGAGCUUGCUCUUACGGGUGGCGAGUGGCGGACGGGUGAGGAAUACAUCGGACUCUACUUUUUCGUGGGGGAUCACGUAGGGAAACUUACGCUAAUACCGCAUACGCCCUACGGGUGAAAGCAGGGGAUCUUCGGACCUUGCGCGAUUGAACGAGCCGAUGUCGGAUUAGCUAGUUGGCGGGGUAAAGGCCCACCAAGGCGACGAUCCGUAGCUGGUCUGAGAGGAUGAUCAGCCACACUGGAACUGAGACACGGUCCAGACUCCUACGGGAGGCAGCAGUGGGGAAUAUUGGACAAUGGGCGCAAGCCUGAUCCAGCCAUACCGCGUGGGUGAAGAAGGCCUUCGGGUUGUAAAGCCCUUUUGUUGGGAAAGAAAAGCAGCAGGUUAAUACCCCGCUGUUCUGACGGUACCCAAAGAAUAAGCACCGGCUAACUUCGUG
This 492-nucleotide ribosomal RNA is filed under the name uncultured bacterium. Its description in RNAcentral is "partial 16S ribosomal RNA". It matches the Rfam family "Bacterial small subunit ribosomal RNA", at positions 29 to 507 of the family's 1533-position model. The record is from RNAcentral.